GAGUGCCCCGAGCGUUAUCCGGAAUUAUUGGGCGUAAAGGGUGUGUAGGUGGCAGUGUUAGUCAGACGUUAAAGCCCGGAGCUUAACUCCGGAAAUGCGUUUGAAACGGCACAGCUAGAGGAUGCGAGGGAUGAAUGGAACUCAUGGAGUAGGGGUGAAAUCCGUUGAUAUCAUGGGGAACACCAAAAGCGAAGGCAGUUCAUUGGCGCACUCCUGACACUGAAACACGAAAGCGUGGGUAGCGAAUGGGAUUAGAUACCCCAGUAGUCCACGCCCUAAACGAUGACAACUAGCUUUGCGGAGUAUCGACCCUCUGCGAGGCGAAGCUUACGCGUUAAGUUGUCCGCCUGGGUAGUACGGCCGCAAGGCUA
This 371-nucleotide ribosomal RNA is filed under the name uncultured bacterium. Its description in RNAcentral is "bacterial SSU rRNA". It matches the Rfam family "Bacterial small subunit ribosomal RNA", at positions 527 to 896 of the family's 1533-position model. The record is from RNAcentral.